GCCCAGAUGGCGGAAUUGGUAGACGCGCUAGUUUCAGGGACUAGUAUAAGCAAUUAUGUGCAGGUUCGAGUCCUGUUCUGGGCA
RNAcentral lists this transfer RNA (84 nucleotides) under Bacteroidales bacterium. RNAcentral describes it as "tRNA-Leu". It matches the Rfam family "tRNA". Rfam says of the family: Transfer RNA (tRNA) molecules are approximately 80 nucleotides in length. Their secondary structure includes four short double-helical elements and three loops (D, anti-codon, and T loops). Lineage: Bacteria; Pseudomonadati; Bacteroidota; Bacteroidia; Bacteroidales. The record is from RNAcentral.